UAAAUAAUUGGGCACUACUUCUCCCCCAUCUGCCAUUCUUUCUCCCUCCCAAACUCAGAUUUAUCUCUUUCUCCCCCAAAAUUCACUUACCAUUUCAAACCCUAACUUCACACCAACAGAAGUUGCAACAAUCCCUAGCACUCCUUCCUCAACCCACAACCUGAAAACCCACAUUCAGCCGACCACCUGUAACCCUCCCAACCACCGGAGCACAUAAUAAAUUGUGUCGUGUAAAGCUUAAUUAAUCCUUCCAUCGUCACCACCGGAGCACCACCGUCAAUACAACUUCUCACCACCGGAGAAACCACCUAGGUUAACGUUUUUCUCCGAGAAACCACCUAGAUUAGAGAAUCUUCCGGUGUGACUUUGCGUUUUUGUGGUGGAGAAUUUUCCGGCGUGACUUGUACUGAAUAAUUUCCUGCGAAAUUUGUUGUUGCUGACCCGUGGGUUCGACAUCACUUGACCUGUGGGAGAUGCUCCUAAGAUAGGAAAUUCUUGAAUGUGGUAAUGGGAGAUGCUCCUAAGAUAGGUAAUUCCUUACUUGAGAGUCCACAAGUAAGAAAGAUAACAUUUACCGGUUUGACAGCUGUUGGAAAGAAAUUGAUGGCUGGUGCAGCCGAGACUGUUAAAAAGGUAUCUCUAGAACUUGGUGGUAAUGCACCUUGCAUGGUCUUCGAUGAUGCUGAUCUGGAAGUGGCACUGAAAGGGAGUGUAAGUUCACUUUUCAAUUAUUAUAUCGCAUAUAUGAUGUCAGAACGUUGUAUUAAAAGUGUUUGUUAUGCCUUUUCUUUUGCUUUAUUGGUAACUUGUAUAGUCCAAGGUGUUGAAAAUAUUUCAAUCAAACAGUAAAUUAAUAUUAACUUUAUAAAUUACCGAGUUAUCAGCCAAACCGGUUUGUUUCAACUUCAGCAAACUGAUUAAAGAAAGGUAGAAGGCGACUGUCCUGUUAUCGGACGAAUCUAAAGCACACGCAAAAUUAAGACCAACCUGGCGAUUGAGAACGAAGAUCCUUGAACGAAAAUCCUUGAACUGCACGGAUGACUCCUGUCCUUAAAGGAUUUUACGCGCUCGUAUUGAUGUGAGCUGUAGCGUAAACUCCCAGGAUUUAAUGCAGAACUAAUCUGGUAUUCCAACAGCAAUGGAAACCAGAAAACGCAGAAGCUGGAGAGGAAACUGGAGCACACAGGUGGGAAGAGGCUGCGAAAUUGCAAGUGUAUGAAUGGGUAGCAGGAGGCUUUUAUUUAUAGGUUGUGAUCAUACCAGAGAAUGAGAAAAACGGGGAUUGAGAUAACCAUUUAGAACCAAUUCGGUUGCCCCACUGUUUCGAAUUCACCUCUAUCUCCUUAUCUCAUUCGGUCCACAGAUCUGACCCACCUGAACCGGACCUUAGCUAAGUGCAAAGUGCACCUCAAACGCGCCCAUUCGCGAGCUCGCGGCUCGGCUCGGCGCGCGUGUGGGCUUCAUCCACUUCUCAACCCAUUUAACACUUUGGAGGCCCAUAAGAAGUAAUCCCUUAUAAACCACUCAAAGUUCACUCCCUCCACCAAUGUGGGAUGGAGGAAACAUACCAACUUGUAUGUUUACCUUCAAUAUUUCCAACACAAGGCGUAUCCUAAUACAUCUGCCUUGAAUGCACUUACCAAACAUGCAAAUACCAAAACUACCCUCCAUUAGGUAAACUUGGCCCAUCCAUUUUUUUUAUUAUUUUUUCAGUGUGUGAAAUAUUGUUUAAUACAUGGAGCAAAAGUUCUUGUGGGUGAUAAGAGGCAUAGCCUCGGGUUUUCUUUUUAUGAGCGUUGAUGUCAAGAAUGAGAUGCUCAUAGCAAGAAUUAUAAGCAGCAGAACUAUGAGGUUGAUUACUGAACGUACAGCAACUGAACCAUCCAAUAAUGAAUACGUGGAUGCAGACCUUCGAGGUAUUCAUCCUCUAAGAAAUAGUACUGCACAUGAGAGCUCAUUAUUUAUUGCUUUACUUUUCAUACUUGUUGGUAUGAAAAUUAACAACCUUUAGUGGCGACAUCUUUAGCGGCGAUCAAUGUCUUUUAGCGACGGACCAUAAGCGGCGACCUUUUAGCGGCGACUUGUCGUCGCUAAAGCCUUUAGCGGCGACAUGUGAGACUUUUAGCGAUGACAAAAGUCGCCGCUAAUGCUCCGUUUUCCUGUAGUGAGUGUCUGUGUUUCCGGUUGUAUAGUGUAUUCGUACGAGUACGGACACCCUUCUAAUGUGUGUACACACUAAACUUUAAGACACACGGUGUGGAGGGGCUUGAAGAUGGGGCAUCAUGCGACACGGGGACCACACGUCAGAAUGUGGUAUGGUGCUAAAACGGACGGUGUGGGAGUGGCGUUUUUUUAAUAUAUAUAUAUAUAUAUAUAUAUAUAUAUAGGGGAGGGUUUAAAUGAGAACACCUAUCUUUUGUGAGAACAAUGAGAACAAUUCUCAGCCAAUCAAUUCCUUUCCCUUUCAUUUAAAUUAUAAGGGUAAAUUGGUAAUUGUAAAUGUAGUUUCUAGAAACAAGCUUUUCUUUUUUACUCUUGUUAGCAACAACAGUGUGGUAUACGUCUCCGAUUCCAGCUCACCAUGAUGAUCACUGUGAGGUGAUCGUGAAAGAAGGCCACAAUGUAAUGGUGGUUGAGUCAAAUAAGAAGCUGAAGACCCAACGUACGUGCUGAUUUCACACUCGAUGUCGUUCGUUUCUGGCUUGAUUUGAAACACGACACUUUUAAUGAGAAAAAGAACCGACAAAGAUGAUUUCCAGGUCCAAGAUAAACUAUAGCUCAAGGAAUCGAUAAGGUGACGAAGGUCGCCAAAGACGUUUGGAUUCAAAUUUUGCUACAGAUGCAGGGGAGCUAUUUCACAUCUAACCCAUCAAGGUUUGGAUUAAAAUUUUGCUAUAGGUGCAGGGUUAUUUCUUGUUUUCUUCUAAUUCAUAUCAAUUAGCAACUAGUGUAGGUGGUAAUGCUCACAAGCCAAAUCAAAUAGUGUUAUGUUUAAGAUACUUUUUUUAUUUUCUCUAUCAAUCUGUUUUAUCAAUCUGUUUUAGAUGUUAUGUACACAAUCACCAGGUUCCUUUCUAUCCAUGUAUUCUUUUUAAUAAAAUGCCAUAGCUUUUCAAUUGUAUUCAGAUAAUCAUUCUAAUUUUUUUUUUCUGUCAUAACUGCCAUGUUCAAGUUACACAUUCGUAAUUUAAGAUUCAAGUUACACAUUUGUAAUAGCUUGCUAAAUUACACAUGUGUUAAUAACAUAAUAAUAAGAGUUUGGAUUACUUGUUGACUUACAUACACCUAAA
Helianthus annuus (common sunflower) is the source of this 3290-nucleotide long non-coding RNA. RefSeq lists it as uncharacterized. Lineage: Eukaryota; Viridiplantae; Streptophyta; Magnoliopsida; Asterales; Asteraceae. The transcript is spliced from 5 exons. The record is from RefSeq and is a predicted model, not a curated record.